CCCAACUCUAAGAGGAGGCUUGAAUCAGUUACAUCCAAAGAUGUCUUCUAUCCUAUAUCUUGCUGAGAUUUCCAUUAUUUUGAUCAACUUAUCUCAUUAAUGUAGCAAGAGUUCAAUACAAAAUCUCCAACUUUCCUUUCUCCCCAAAAGAGCACUUUUUUAAUUGUGUUGAAUUGGUUCAAGGAAUGGUCUGCUGAGUACUGGAGACAAGUUUACAUCAUCAAGGAUGCUGCAAAAUAUCAUUUGAGGACUGGUGCUCUUAUAGCCUGAAUAUCUGCUGUAUUGUUGCCUGUGAGCGAGGGAGGGGUGUGCUGGCAAUGCAAAUGACUUUCCAGUCCUGAGUCUCUAGAUCUGUACACCUUCUGUUUCAGAAUUUUGGCAGACAAACCAACUAGCCAAGCAUACAACAUUUUUGUUCACUGAGGAGGAGUGGUGCCUUCACCUGAAGACCAUGAAGCCAAAGAUGCACUUCUCUUACACUGUGGAUUCCUGCUAUAUCGUUUUGUUCUGUCUUGCAUGAUUUGACUCUUAGUGUAUUACCUACGCAGAAAGCCACUAAAAA
Molecule: long non-coding RNA, 562 nt
Filed under: Numida meleagris (helmeted guineafowl)
Lineage: Eukaryota; Metazoa; Chordata; Aves; Galliformes; Numididae
Description: lncRNA (ENSNMEG00000010583.1)
Source: RNAcentral